This 253-nucleotide ribosomal RNA is filed under the name uncultured bacterium. Its description in RNAcentral is "partial 16S ribosomal RNA". It matches the Rfam family "Bacterial small subunit ribosomal RNA", at positions 524 to 776 of the family's 1533-position model. The record is from RNAcentral.
UACGAAGGUGGCAAGCGUUGUUCGGAAUUACUGGGCGUAAAGGGCGCGUAGGCGGCCUUCUAAGUCGAACGUGAAAUCCCCGGGCUCAACCCGGGAACUGCGUCCGAUACUGGAAGGCUUGAAUCCGGGAGAGGGAUGCGGAAUUCCAGGUGUAGCGGUGAAAUGCGUAGAUAUCUGGAGGAACACCGGUGGCGAAGGCGGCAUCCUGGACCGGCAUUGACGCUGAGGCGCGAAAGCCAGAGGAGCAAACGGG